RNAcentral lists this unclassified non-coding RNA (448 nucleotides) under Hevea brasiliensis (rubber tree). The record is from RNAcentral. Lineage: Eukaryota; Viridiplantae; Streptophyta; Magnoliopsida; Malpighiales; Euphorbiaceae.
UGAACAAUAAUUUUGCUUGUCUAGGAUGGACAAAGCAUUGGCGGAAAAGUAAGCAUUGCAGUCUCAAAUUAAAAGCAUAGAAGUGAGUAGCAUAUAUCCAUUCUCAACCACCGUGGUUAGAGAAUGAAUCUUGUCCUAAUUAAUUAAGUAGCAUCCUAAUUACAAUACAAACCAUAUAUAGGGCUUAUACAUAUAAAGAGUAUCUUGAUCCAUCUCCAGGUAAAAGUUCCACAGAGAGGGGGAGAGACAGAGACAGAGGGAGAGAGGAUAACCUAAGUCCUAACCAUGGUUGGUGAGUUAGAGGAGAAGAACUCAAGGGAAUCAAAAUAUCUCCCUAGAGUUGCAUGCAUGUGCUGUGAGCUCCACAUCCAUUUAUGGAGUUCUCGGCGUGAUGUUGAAACAGGGUAAAAUCUAGAUGCAAAAAAAAAAAACAAACACUAACCCUCCU